Molecule: long non-coding RNA, 161 nt
Organism: Phyllostomus discolor (pale spear-nosed bat)
Lineage: Eukaryota; Metazoa; Chordata; Mammalia; Chiroptera; Phyllostomidae
Exons: 3
Source: RefSeq, a predicted model, not a curated record
GUGUGCUCUUCUGAUCAGGAAGAUUCAGAGACUCUGAAUAAACAGAUGACACCACCUUGUGCAAUUGAAGCAGUAAUCAAAAAGCUCCCAACUAACAAAAUCCUGGACUGGAUGGCUUCACAGGGGAAUUUUACCAAACAUUCUGAAAAGAACUAUCACCU